RNAcentral lists this long non-coding RNA (587 nucleotides) under Marmota monax (woodchuck). Lineage: Eukaryota; Metazoa; Chordata; Mammalia; Rodentia; Sciuridae. The record is from RNAcentral.
CUUCCAGGUUUUGGCCUGUGGGUCUGACUGCAGCUGCAGGGACUUCCCAGGUGGUGAUACCUGAGCCAGAGGGGUGUACUGAGCUGGUGUCGCUGAAGUCAUGGGGGGAAGAGCUUUGUCUGCCUAGAGUUUGAACUAGAGGAGUCAAUUAUAAGAUAAGAACCCUGGGCUGGGAGACAGGGCUUAGGGUCAUGUUUCUGCCCUUUCUAGUUCCAUGGCUUUGUGCACAUCCCUGAGGCCUGUUUCUUCAUCCAUAAAAGCUGAUCUCAUUUUUGCCUACAUUCUCCGUUUGUGAUAAUACAUCCUUUCCUUAUGUGACUAAGACCUCCCAGAGGGCAGGGACUCUCCUUCUGUGUCCUUUAUUUCUGGGAUCCCAGCACAAAGCAGAGUGAGACAGCACAGCCAAGUCCACUGAGUGAAUAGGUGAGGAUCCAACUGGAGAAUCUACUUUUAACUACUCUUUUCUUUUUAGUCUUUUACUCUUUUCUUUUCCAUACUGGGGAAAUCCAGGGCCUCAGCAAGCGCUCGACCACUGAGCUCUACCUACUGCCCAAACAUUUUACUUUUUAUCCCUCUGUGCCUUUUUC